UUUGUCUAUUAAUUGUAGACCUGUAUGAAAGGCAAAAUGAAAGCCCAACUGUCUCUUAUAACAAAUCAAUUAAACUGAUCUCCCAGUACAAAAGCUGGGAUAUCACCAUAAGACCAGAAGACCCUGUGAAGCUUUAACUAACCUAUUAACCCAUAUAAUAGCCAGUUUCGGUUGGGGCGACCUUGGAAUAAAAAAGAACUUCCAAAUAACAUGACUCAUCAUUUACUAAGGCAUACAAGCCAUAAUUAGACCCAGAAUAUCUGAUUAAUGAACCAAGUUACUCCAGGGAUAACAGCGCUAUCUUCUUCAAGAGCCCAUAUCAAAAAGAAGGUUUACGACCUCGAUGUUGGAUCAGGACAUCCUAGUAGUGCAACAGCUACUAAGGGUUCGUUUGUUCAACGAUUAACAGU
Molecule: ribosomal RNA, 410 nt
Filed under: Bitis xeropaga
Lineage: Eukaryota; Metazoa; Chordata; Lepidosauria; Squamata; Viperidae
Description: partial 16S ribosomal RNA
Rfam family: Bacterial large subunit ribosomal RNA
Source: RNAcentral